UACGUAGGGCGCAAGCGUUAUCCGGAAUUAUUGGGCGUAAAGAGCUCGUAGGCGGUUUGUCGCGUCUGCCGUGAAAGUCCGGGGCUCAACUCCGGAUCUGCGGUGGGUACGGGCAGACUAGAGUGAUGUAGGGGAGACUGGAAUUCCUGGUGUAGCGGUGAAAUGCGCAGAUAUCAGGAGGAACACCGAUGGCGAAGGCAGGUCUCUGGGCAUUAACUGACGCUGAUGCGCGAAAGCCAGGGGAGCGAACGGG
This 253-nucleotide ribosomal RNA is filed under the name uncultured bacterium. Its description in RNAcentral is "partial 16S ribosomal RNA". It matches the Rfam family "Bacterial small subunit ribosomal RNA", at positions 524 to 776 of the family's 1533-position model. The record is from RNAcentral.